UACUACUAUAAGACGAGAAGACCCCAUGGAGCUUUAAACCCAACUACACCCCCACNCCNAACAACCACUUAACUAAUGGGACACUGUAUGCUUGGUUUUAGGUUGGGGCGACCACGGAGUAGAAAACAACCUCCAUGAUGAACGGGCCCCCCCCCUUAUCUAAGAGCCACACCUCUAAGAAUUAGAACACUAACAUAAAAUGAUCCUUUUCUUGAUCAACGAACCAAGUUACCCUGGGGAUAACAGCGCAAUCCAUUUCAAGAGCCCAU
Molecule: ribosomal RNA, 269 nt
Filed under: Mantidactylus femoralis
Lineage: Eukaryota; Metazoa; Chordata; Amphibia; Anura; Mantellidae
Description: partial large subunit ribosomal RNA
Source: RNAcentral